Amphimedon queenslandica is the source of this 528-nucleotide long non-coding RNA. RefSeq lists it as uncharacterized. The record is from RefSeq and is a predicted model, not a curated record. Lineage: Eukaryota; Metazoa; Porifera; Demospongiae; Haplosclerida; Niphatidae. The transcript is spliced from 2 exons.
CGAUAAGAUUGACAUGUGCAUGUUUCUAUCACAUGUACAUAUUCAAACAAUGGACCAUUGUCAUCAGUAGCCAGUAUCUAGGUACAUACUGACUGGAAUUCAUUUUAUCAUAUACUAAAGGUCAUAUAAGAGACUAUACAUCAGCUACUGAAUGAUGAAUACCUUCCAGUGUUUGGUCCUUGUUGCUGCUAUUGGAUUCAUCAUUACUACUACUACUACAGUGUAUGCUGGCACUGCUGCUUUGUGCUUCAGGGAUACAGGUUGCAAGAAUAAUGCAUCUAUAUCUGAGGACUGCUGUAGCCUCCCUGAUAUACAGUCUUAUGGAAUAGUUGAACCUGGCGAGGAAGGUAUGCACUGCUAUGAGUGCAAAAGUAGCUGAGAGGAAGAAGUUCUGAGAAGGAAAGAGUCUGUACUUUCAAUAAAUAAAUAAAUAAAUGUUAUUUUAUUAACAAUUAACAAUUAUUAUCUUAACUAUUCCAGAACUGAUAGUUAAUAAAGUUACAUAAAACAGUUUUUGUUAAUUUUGGA